CGUCCGGGUCAAAUACAGGACACUUGAGACACGGCUUUAGCACAAAACAAUGUUAUAACAUAUUUUUACCAUUACAAAUGUUAUAAAUAUCACUGAGCACAUCUGCCAGUUGUUAUGCACAAGCCACAAGAGCUCGGCCGAGGAUGCCUUCAGGUCCAGGUGCCUUUGGUGGCUUAAGAUUUACACACAUCCACCCUGAAUACUGCUGGUGACGCAACAAUGAUGAAGACUGUGGGUAAAACACUUCGUCAUGGCCUUUUAUUUGCUCUAAACUUGACUUACGUUUUAGGGCAGAAAGAAAACGUAAAGUUUGGGACCUCAGAAGAACGUUUUGUUUUAGAAUUGGUGCGUCUCAAUCUGCUAACAUGCUCAUCUUUCAUUGUGUCAUACACACUUAGUUUUUGUGUUGUAAGUGUCAAAUUGUCGGCCUUUUACAUUUAUAUUGUGUACUUUUAUUUUCUUCAAAUUCAGAAUAAAUGUUUUUUUUCUUCAUGUGAAUGGCAUCUGGUUUUGUGCACACUGACAUAAUCUUACACUGUGUGGUGACCCACAAGUAACGCUGUAGAGACAUUCACCAGGGGACUGUACCUUUAAGGGAAAGUGUUUUGAUGUGAGGUUAACGUGCAUGUCCGCAGUAGUUCUCACGUGUUGUUUUGUGUUAUUGAAGUGGAGAGUAAAGCUGACUCAACGCAUCUCCGUCUCCUGUCUCGUCUCUUUUCACCCUCCACAACUGUUUGCUUUGCGGCUGAGUGUCAGUGAGAGUACGAGUAGGUGUGUGUGUAGCGGCAGCGUCCUCAAGAGAUUGCAGUUGUAGUUGGAUCGCGUCCCUUCGUCUGUGUCCGAGCUGUCUCGUUCCUUUGCUCCUUCAAACUCAGUCAAAGAAUUCAGCCUUCCAGCCCACGAUUUGGGUUGUUAUUUACGUUGUUAACUUCCGACCGUAGUUAUCAGUGAAAAGUCACUUUACUGCCUUAACUUUCACACUUUAAAAGGUUGAUCAAUGUCUUACUGCGGUUGUGACCGUUUUAAAGAUCGUUUAUACUUGUUAUUAUGAACAGAAACUGAUCAACGUGAGUUCAAGUAGACAAAUUAUGAACCUGAUCUUGUCACGGCCAGUUUACCAAUGACCCAAAUGCAGACAGACGGCAGGUUAGGUGGAAAGAAAAGCUUUAUUUUAUGGGUACAUGGAUGCAGUUGAGGAAGCAGUGACAAGGAAGUGUACAAAGUGCUGGCUGGGCGGCGAUGCGACGUGAAGAGACGAUCGGGCGAUGAGACAACCGGAAACCGGGAUAAUUCAGCUGGCGGUGACGAGGGCUUGAUGAUGGACCAAUGAGGAGCCCAGAUGCCAGCUGAUUGCAACCACACACACACACACACACACACACACACACACACACACACAGAA
Molecule: non-coding RNA, 1402 nt
Organism: Gasterosteus aculeatus aculeatus (three-spined stickleback)
Lineage: Eukaryota; Metazoa; Chordata; Actinopteri; Perciformes; Gasterosteidae
Source: RefSeq, a predicted model, not a curated record